RNAcentral lists this transfer RNA (75 nucleotides) under Arcanobacterium sp. S3PF19. RNAcentral's name for it is "tRNA-Val". It matches the Rfam family "tRNA". From Rfam's summary of the family: Transfer RNA (tRNA) molecules are approximately 80 nucleotides in length. The record is from RNAcentral. Lineage: Bacteria; Bacillati; Actinomycetota; Actinomycetes; Actinomycetales; Actinomycetaceae.
GGGCGGUUAGCGCAGCGGUAGCGCGUUUCCCUGACACGGAAGAGGUCGCUGGUUCGAUCCCAGUACCGCCCACCA